Molecule: small nuclear RNA, 102 nt
Organism: Cebus imitator (Panamanian white-faced capuchin)
Lineage: Eukaryota; Metazoa; Chordata; Mammalia; Primates; Cebidae
Source: RefSeq, a predicted model, not a curated record
GUGCUUGCUUUGGCAGCCCAUAUACUAAAACUGGAAUGAUACAGAGUAGCAUGGCCCCUGCACAAGGAUGAGUUGCAAAUUUGUGAAGUGUUCCAUAAAAAA